AUUUGUCUUUGACUGGAAUCAAACAAUAUCAGAUGGUGUAGGAUGAUGAUCUCUGCAUCCACCAGUCGGCAAGCUGUUUUGUUUAAAACAUCACAACAAGCAGUGCCUCCUUUCCUGAAAGAAGACUCAUUUGGGAAAGGGCCAGCUGCAUCCCCAGAGUUUGUACUGACAGAAGAAUCCCUAAGGAAUUGGUGAAAGCCUCCCUGAUCUGGCAUCUGUGACAACAUGAAGUGCAUACAUCUGACUGGGAGAAAGGAGUGAAAAGCAGGCUUUCCUUUCUAUCAGGCCUGGUUGUGUCAAACCAAACCCUAAGGUUGGUGUUCUCUGGACUCACGUUACAACU
Molecule: long non-coding RNA, 343 nt
Organism: Centrocercus urophasianus (Greater sage-grouse)
Lineage: Eukaryota; Metazoa; Chordata; Aves; Galliformes; Phasianidae
Exons: 3
Source: RefSeq, a predicted model, not a curated record